GCUACGGGUGGCAGCAGUGGGGGAUAUUGCACAAUGGGGGAACCCCGACGCAGCGACGCCGCGUGAAGGAAGAAGGAUCUCGGGAUGUAAACGUCUAUCAGCAGGGAAGAAAAGGACGGGACCUGACGAAGAAGCCCCGGCGAACUACGUGCCAGCAGCCGCGGUAAUACGUCGGGGGCAAGCGUUAGCCGGAUUUACUGGGUGGAAAGGGAGCGUAGGCGGCAGUGCCAGUCAGAAGUGAAAGCCCGGGGCUCAACUCCGGGACUGCUUUUGAAACUGUCCAGCUUGAUUGCAGGAGAGGCCAGUGGACUUCCUAGUGUAGCGGUGAAAUGCGUAGAUAUUAGGAGGAACACCAGUGGCGAAGGCGGCUUGCUGGACUGUACCUGACGCUGUGGCUCGAAAGCGUGGGGAGCAAACAGGAUUAGAUACCCUUGUAGUC
RNAcentral lists this ribosomal RNA (439 nucleotides) under uncultured bacterium. RNAcentral's name for it is "partial 16S ribosomal RNA". It matches the Rfam family "Bacterial small subunit ribosomal RNA", at positions 338 to 795 of the family's 1533-position model. The record is from RNAcentral.